This is a long non-coding RNA of Etheostoma spectabile (orangethroat darter), 165 nucleotides long. RefSeq lists it as uncharacterized. Lineage: Eukaryota; Metazoa; Chordata; Actinopteri; Perciformes; Percidae. The record is from RefSeq and is a predicted model, not a curated record. The transcript is spliced from 3 exons.
AACGGGAAAAAGCUUAUUGUGGUUUAAUGUACCUAAACAACAAUCAAUGAUCAACAGAUAUCUCUCUCAUAUUGGUCCUCAUAACCACUGAAAACUGUCAAAAAAUCUAACAAAAAGUCCAAUUAUUAUGGACGUUAUCUGACAUAAAGCUUUUCUGCUUCAAAG